AACGAACGCUGGCGGCAUGCCUAACACAUGCAAGUCGAACGAGACCUUCGGGUCUAGUGGCGCACGGGUGCGUAACGCGUGGGAACCUGCCCUUAGGUUCGGAAUAACUCCCCGAAAGGGGUGCUAAUACCGGAUAAUGUCUUCGGACCAAAGAUUUAUCGCCUUUGGAUGGGCCCGCGUUGGAUUAGCUAGUUGGUAGGGUAAAAGCCUACCAAGGCGACGAUCCAUAGCUGGUCUGAGAGGAUGAUCAGCCACACUGGGACUGAAACACGGCCCAGACUCCUACGGGAGGCAGCAGUGGGGAAUAUUGGACAAUGGGCGAAAGCCUGAUCCAGCAAUGCCGCGUGAGUGAUGAAGGCCUUAGGGUUGUAAAGCUCUUCUACCCGGGAUGAUAAUGACAGUACCGGGAGAAUAAGCUCCGGCUAACUCCGUG
Molecule: ribosomal RNA, 433 nt
Filed under: uncultured bacterium
Lineage: Bacteria
Description: partial 16S ribosomal RNA
Rfam family: Bacterial small subunit ribosomal RNA
Source: RNAcentral